RNAcentral lists this ribosomal RNA (81 nucleotides) under Janthinobacterium sp. NKUCC08_JDC. RNAcentral's name for it is "partial 23S ribosomal RNA". It matches the Rfam family "Bacterial large subunit ribosomal RNA", at positions 1 to 81 of the family's 2925-position model. Lineage: Bacteria; Pseudomonadati; Pseudomonadota; Betaproteobacteria; Burkholderiales; Oxalobacteraceae. The record is from RNAcentral.
GGACAAGCGAAUAAGUGCACAUGGUGGAUGCCUUGGCGAUUACAGGCGAUGAAGGACGUAGUAGCUUGCGAUAAGCUGCGG